CCUACGGGAGGCAGCAGUGGGGAAUUUUGGACAAUGGGCGAAAGCCUGAUCCAGCCAUGCCGCGUGCAGGAUGAAGGCCUUCGGGUUGUAAACUGCUUUUGUACGGAACGAAAAGCCUCUUUCUAAUAAAGAGGGGUCAUGACGGUACCGUAAGAAUAAGCACCGGCUAACUACGUGCCAGCAGCCGCGGUAAUACGUAGGGUGCGAGCGUUAAUCGGAAUUACUGGGCGUAAAGCGUGCGCAGGCGGUUAUAUAAGACAGUUGUGAAAUCCCCGGGCUCAACCUGGGAACUGCAUCUGUGACUGUAUAGCUAGAGUACGGUAGAGGGGGAUGGAAUUCCGCGUGUAGCAGUGAAAUGCGUAGAUAUGCGGAGGAACACCGAUGGCGAAGGCAAUCCCCUGGACCUGUACUGACGCUCAUGCACGAAAGCGUGGGGAGCAAACAGGAUUAGAUACCCUGGUAGUCCACGCCCUAAACGAUGUCAACUGGUUGUUGGGAAUUCACUUUCUCAGUAACGAAGCUAACGCGUGAAGUUGACCGCCUGGGGAGUACGGCCGCGAAGGUUGAAACUUCAAAGUAGUUAGUUAGCGNGNGNGNGCGACGACGACGACGAGGAGGAGG
This 621-nucleotide ribosomal RNA is filed under the name uncultured bacterium. Its description in RNAcentral is "bacterial SSU rRNA". It matches the Rfam family "Bacterial small subunit ribosomal RNA", at positions 338 to 956 of the family's 1533-position model. The record is from RNAcentral.